Pygocentrus nattereri (red-bellied piranha) is the source of this 732-nucleotide long non-coding RNA. The record is from Ensembl. NCBI's taxonomy places the organism in Eukaryota, Metazoa, Chordata, Actinopteri, Characiformes, Serrasalmidae.
AUGCGGCCAUGUAGGGACACAUGGAUUCAACCAUGUCCAUCUGCCUUACAAAUAAGGGUUUUCAUCAGUUGGGCACAAAACAGCCUUUAUAGCGAUUUCAUUGUUAUAAGACUCGGGUGUAGACUAAACUUUGGCAAGUUCUGCUUGCUGAAAAAAAAACUGUCAAGCUGCGUCCUGAGCACCGGUAGACUGAAUCUCCUGCAAGGACUCUAGAGUGGAGGACAUUUCUGCGUCUGCUACAAGCCCCUCCUCUUCCACUGUGAGGAUGUGUAAUCUCCAACCUUGCUGCACGUCUCGCGACAAGCUAAUCUGUCGAGGCCACAACGUGCUUUUGGGGUGGAGGAUAAGUGACGAGCAUCUUGUGGAACACUUGUCCCUGUCUAAACUGACUGACAAAGCAAUCCUCACUCAAAUGGACUGCAUUUAAUAGGCCACAGUCUUCUCUCGCAUUAACGUAAUCAGGUAAUUCCAGAAUAUGGGAGAAGAAUAGGCAGAAUGUCCCUUCUCUGCUCAACCCAUCAGUUGCUUUCUAAUUAUUAUUCAUAUAAAUACAUUAUUGAUUUUAUAUUUUCUGUUGAAUCAGUCCUACAACAGAAUUCUGGAUGAUCCCAGAUUUCUGUCCUGGAAUGUCCAAGAAGUUACUUGUUUUCUUGAUUUUCUAAGGAAAAAUAAUAAAGAGAAUUUUUUGCAAAUUUUAUAGUGCACAGUAUCUAUUUAUUUGCUGAGUUAACC